RNAcentral lists this ribosomal RNA (293 nucleotides) under uncultured bacterium. RNAcentral's name for it is "partial 16S ribosomal RNA". The record is from RNAcentral. RNAcentral also lists the same sequence under 2 other names.
GGACUACAGGGGUAUCUAAUCCCGUUCGCUCCCCUGGCUUUCGCGUCUCAGCGUCAGCAGGCGUCCAGGACCGCGCUUUCGCCACGGGCGUUCCUUCCGAUCUCAACGCAUUUCACCGCUCCACCGGAAGUUCCCGGUCCCCCUACGCCCCUCCAGGACGGUCGUUGCGGCGCCCCUUCCCCGGUUGAGCCGGGGGCUUUCAGCGUCCGCCGUGCCGUCCCGCCUACACGCGCUUUAAGCCCAGUGAUUCCGAAUAACGUUCGCACGGUUCGUCUUACCGCGGCGGCUGGCAC